ACGCUAGCGAUAGGCUUAACACAUGCAAGUCGAGGGGCAGCAUGGUCUUAGCUUGCUAAGACUGAUGGCGACCGGCGCACGGGUGCGUAACGCGUAUGCAACUUGCCUCACAGAGGGGGAUAACCCGUCGAAAGACGGACUAAUACCGCGUACACUUGGGAUAGGGCAUCCUGACCCAAGGAAAUGAAAUUCGCUGUGAGAUAGGCAUGCGUCCCAUUAGCUAGUUGGUGAGGUAACGGCUCACCAAGGCGACGAUGGGUAGGGGAACUGAGAGGUUGAACCCCCACACUGGUACUGAGACACGGACCAGACUCCUACGGGAGGCAGCAGUGAGGAAUAUUGGUCAAUGGGCGAGAGCCUGAACCAGCCAAGUCGCGUGAAGGAUGACUGUCUUAUGGAUUGUAAACUUCUUUUAUACGGGAAUAACAAGAGCCACGUGUGGCUCCCUGCAUGUACCGUAUGAAUAAGCAUCGGCUAACUCCGUGCCAGCAGCCGCGGUAAUACGGAGGAUGCGAGCGUUAUCCGGAUUUAUUGGGUUUAAAGGGUGCGUAGGCGGCCUGUUAAGUCAGCGGUGAAAUCUAGGAGCUUAACUCCUAAAUUGCCAUUGAUACUGGCGGGCUUGAGUGUAGAUGAGGUAGGCGGAAUGCGUGGUGUAGCGGUGGAAUGCAUAGAUAUCACGCAGAACUCCGAUUGCGAAGGCAGCUUACUAAGGUACAACUGACGCUGAAGCAUGAAAGCGUGGGUAUCAAACAGGAUUAGAUACCCUGGUAGUCCACGCAGUAAACGAUGAUAACUGGGCGUAUGCGAUAUACAGUAUGCUCCUAAGCGAAAGCGUUAAGUUAUCCACCUGGGGAGUACGCCGGCAACGGUGAAACUCAAAGGAAUUGACGGGGGCCCGCACAAGCGGAGG
Molecule: ribosomal RNA, 910 nt
Filed under: uncultured bacterium
Lineage: Bacteria
Description: bacterial SSU rRNA
Rfam family: Bacterial small subunit ribosomal RNA
Source: RNAcentral